Molecule: ribosomal RNA, 253 nt
Filed under: uncultured bacterium
Lineage: Bacteria
Description: partial 16S ribosomal RNA
Rfam family: Bacterial small subunit ribosomal RNA
Source: RNAcentral
GACAGAGGGGGCAAGCGUUGUCCGGAGUUACUGGGCGUAAAGGGCGCGGAGGCGGUCUGCGGCGUCGGCGCUGAAAGCGCCCCGCUUAACGGGGCGAGGCGUGCAGAUACGCGCAGACUUGAGGCGAGCAGAGGGUGGUGGAAUUCCGGGUGGAGCGGUGAAAUGCGUAGAGAUCCGGAGGAACGCCAGUGGGGAAGCCGGCCACCUGGGCUCGUCCUGACGCUGAGGCGCGACAGCGUGGGGAGCAAACCGG